RNAcentral lists this ribosomal RNA (3546 nucleotides) under Triticum aestivum (bread wheat). RNAcentral's name for it is "partial small subunit ribosomal RNA". Lineage: Eukaryota; Viridiplantae; Streptophyta; Magnoliopsida; Poales; Poaceae. The record is from RNAcentral.
AUGCCCGGGACGUUGGCAACUACUACUAUUUUUUUAUUCAAUCACACAGGAAAACGCGCUGGAUGUUCCUACCUAAUCAUGAAGUCAGCCAAGCCGUGGAUGUUCCGGAGCAGCGGUGGCCCUUCUCUCACCCCUCUCUACCACAUAGUACCACCGACAGAACUUGUUGAAUCCAUGGCUACCCCUGCCUCAGGGUGUCCAUGGCUCCAUCUCCUCGCCAUCCUGCUUCUUCUCCCUUCCAUGUUCGGUGAGGCAAAGACCGCAGCACGGCGAGGCACUUGGUUCACAGCCCAGACAGCAGCGCUGCUCCGAUGGAAAUCCAGCCUGACAAGCGUCAGCAGCGGUUCAGCCUUGAGCACCUGGAGCCCCGGCGUCCACCCCUGCAACUGGACGGGCAUCACCUGCCGCCGUGCAGCUCAAGGCCCGGCCAUCACUGGGAUCUCCCUCCCAGGAGCUGGCCUUGCCGGGCGGCUGGACGUGCUCAACUUGCAGCCCCUGUCCUUGCUCACCAGCCUUGAAAUCAGCAACAACUUCCACCUCUCAGGGCGGAUUCCACCAACCGUCGGCAUGCUCCCCAUGCUUUCCAUGCUCAACUUCUCCGGUAACCAGCUCACUGGAGGCAUACCUCCAGCCAUCGGUGAGCUGGGGAGCCUCACCGUGAUGGACCUCUCCUUCAAUGGCCUCUCAGGUACCAUUCCUGCAAACAUUGGCAGGCUUCAGUCCUUGCAAAGUCUCCGGUUAUACCAUAACAACUUAACUGGAAUUAUUCCUCCUUCCCUCACCAACCUAACUUUGCUCAGAGAUUUAAGUCUGUUCACAAACCAUCUUACUGGUUCAAUCCCCGUAGAGCUCGGGAAACUCGCUGCUUUGGAGGAGCUAGAUUUGGCUGAUAACUAUCUAACUGGUACUAUUCCGAGCAGCAUUGGAAACCUUACUAAACUAGGCUACUUAGGACUGUCCCAAAACUUACUUAUUGGUUCCAUUCCUCACGAGAUGACACACCUUAAUAAUCUUGCCAUGCUCAUGAUAUCACACAAUCAAUUCACGUCCACUAUCCCUGCAUCAAUCACAAACUUAACCAAGUUGCAACUGCUAGGAGCCAGCAGGAGCAACUUAAGUGGCCACCUUCCUGAACAAAUAGGAUCACUCACUGAUCUUCGUGAGGUCUACCUUUUCGGUAAUAAACUUACCGGGAGCAUUCCUUUGAGUCUCGGAAAUUUGACGAUGCUCACAUAUCUGUACCUUUACGAGAACAACUUGUCUGGGUUCAUUCCUUAUGUGCUAGGGAAUCUUGCUAACCUUCAGGAGCUUAGCCUCUCCUCCAAUGCUUUAGAUGGUGAUCUGCCAUCUAGCAUAGGAAACAUGACUUCCCUCACCUCCCUUCGCCUUCAAAACAAUAGCUUUUCUGGCACAAUCCCAGCUGAGCUAGGCAAUCUAGAGAAUUUAGUGAAUCUUUACCUCUACUUCAACAAGUUCUCUGGCUCAGUCCCUCCAAGCUUUGGAAACUUCAGGGAAAUGACAGAUUUGAGGCUGUCGGGUAAUAGACUGUCUGGACCUUUGCCUCACACACUUUCAAACCUCACCAAUUUGGUGGACAUUGAGUUGAGUUACAACAAUCUCAGCGGACACGUGCCUGACUUAUGCCAGGGCAAAAAACUCCAAUGGUUUUCCGCAACUACCAACCAAUUUAGUGGAUCCUUUCCAGGAAGUUUCAAGCACUGCAGCUCCUUAAUCAUCCUUGACAUCAUGUAUAAUCAGAUGGAAGGAGAUAUAGCACAACAGCUUGGGGUGUACCCACAUCUGAAAUUUGUUGGGUUAACUUCAAACAAACUGCACGGUCAGCUUUCAACAGACUGGGGUUCAUGCGGUAACUUGACAGAACUGCGUUUAGGAGGAAACAUGAUUACUGGUCAUAUACCUCGUGAGCUCACAAAGCUAACCAAACUCAGAAAACUCGACCUCCAUUUGAAUAGGUUGACAGGGGAGAUACCUCCUGAAAUUGGCAAACUAGUCAACCUAUAUUUGCUAGAUUUAAGCCAAAAUAAUCUAUCUGGAAGCAUUCCUCAACACAUUGGUCGAAUGGAUGUUCUUGAGGUUCUCGACCUGUCAAGCAAUCAAUUAGGUGGAAGAAUACCAGAAGAAGUUGGGAAAUGUGUGAGACUACAGUCCAUGAAACUGAACAACAACAGCUUAAACGGCAGCCUUCCUGGUUCCAUAGGCAAACUGAUUCACCUACAGACAACACUUGAUGUCAGCCAUAACAACCUACAUGGCGCCAUUCCUCCAGAAAUAGGAAAUCUAGAUAUGUUGGUAAGCAUAAACCUCUCCCACAAUCAAUUCAGUGGAAGCAUUCCUAACACGGUAGCAGGACUCCGAAGCAUGUCCGUAUUUGAUGUCUCCUACAAUAGAUUACAAGGCACAGUUCCGGGAAGGAUCCAUAAUUCCUCGGCAGAAUGGUUUCUUCACAAUAGAGGUCUCUGCGGGGAGCUGGCUGGCCUUCCGUCUUGUCAUUCUUCUGCUGCAAAUCAUCAGAAAAAGGACCAAAUCCUCAUGUUAAAAGUGGGUGUCCCUGUUUUUGUGGCUAUUACUUGUAUAGCUGCAUGCAUCUUCUUCACUUUGAUUUUGAGGAAGAAAUCCUCUUCUAGAGAAAGUGCCAUUGUAAAGAGUGCGGACCUCUUCUCUAUAUGGAACUUCGAUGGUAAAAUAGCUUUUGAGGAUAUCAUCAAUGCAACGGAUAAUUUUGAUGAAAAACACUGCAUUGGAGAAGGAGGAUUUGGUAAUGUCUACAAGGUGAAUCUCCCAGAUGGACAAGUGGUUGCAGUGAAGAAGCUUCAUCCAAUUGAGGAAGGGAUGCAUGAUGAGCAAUGCUUUCGUCGUGAGAUUGAAGUACUAACAAAAGUCCGUCAGCGCAGCAUUGUCAAGCUGUAUGGAUUCUGUUCCCAUACGCAGUACAGGUUCCUGGUUUGCCAAUACAUAGAAAGGGGGAGUCUAGCCUCAAUCCUGAGCAACAGCGACCAAGCAAUCCAAUUUGAUUGGCAGAAAAGAGCAACUCUCAUCAAGGAUGUUGUGCAAGCUAUUUCCUACCUACACCAUGGUUGUGAUCCACCUAUAAUCCAUCGGGACAUAACAAGUAGCAACAUUUUGCUAGAUUCUGAAUACAAGGCCUUUGUCUCGGACUUUGGCACGGCAAGGAUACUGAAGCCUGAUUCAUCGAACUGGACCGCGCUGGCAGGGACAUAUGGCUACAUCGCACCUGAACUUUCUUACACGCCCUUGGUCACCGAGAAAUGCGAUGUCUACAGCCUCGGCGUUGUGAUGCUGGAGGUGCUGAUGGGGAAGCAUCCAGGAGAAUUCCUAAACAGACCUGCAGCUGCGCAAGAACAAGACAUGAUACUUCAAGAGCAUCUCGACCACCGUCUUCCCAUGCGCAAGACCGACGAGGCGCAGGAUAUCAAUCGGCUAAUAUCGGUGGCGUUUCAGUGCCUACAAGAUUCCCCUCAUGAGAGGCCAGACACGCAGCAGAUCCAUCGAGCUCUCAGUGUAUGA